UUCCCACCCCUUUCUAGCUACAGCUGGAGGGAGAGCUGAGGGAGAAGAGCUGCUGCAUUUGCUUUUCCAGCACUUGCCCUGCAGUCCCUUGUUCCCCAAGCCCUCAGCAGACUGUCUGAGACAGGCAGAUAUAAAGCAGAGGUUACCGAUGAUUGCACUGCAGGAUAGGAGCACAGCCAGGAGAUGCUGCUGCUUGGCAGCAUGAGCAAGACUCCAACAAGCAGACUUCACAGGGAGGUUUGCCUUUGCUGAUUAUAGGAUUUCUCUACUCAUCCACUUCUUUGCUCUAAGGAAGGAGUUUGGAAAGCAGCCACUCUUCAUGUCCUGAAAGACCUCUCCAGAUUUUCCCCGCUUUAAAACGGACCCCAGUGAUACUUGUCGAAACAGGAUUACUGCAGAAGGAGUCGGCAGAGGCAAUCAUGGGAUGUUGUGGCAUGCAAUACUGGUUUAAAAUUUUAAAAAAAGGAUAGAACUGCAGAAUACCCUCUAAGCCUUUCCAUUUCUGGGGAGAUUUUCAUUCUGCCUGCCCUGCACUACAUAUGCCGACCCCACUGCUGAAAUGCAGCCACCUCUGGGCUGGAGACGGACAGCUACCCAAGGAGGGUGCCACAACCUCGCACCAGACACUGGCUCAGGAGGGUAAAGCAGCAGCCCAUGUUCACCUGACACUUCCAGGGGGAGCUCCUUGGGGCCCACAUACUGUGUCCUCAUCAUGCUGACAGGAUCCUGAUCUCCCACUGCAGGAGCCACCUCUAUAAUAAGGAACUACAAAUAAGAAACAACAUCAUCAGCAGCCUUCUGCCACCCUGCAUAUAGGGAGGAGCAGCAGCAGCAUCUACCAGAGGUCAGGCAACCUGGGGUAUCUUCUCAGGAUAGCACUUGAGCUCAGAAAAACAGGCAGGUGCAAUCAACAGAGGGAAAUGAGAUCUUCCCUCACCCACCUUGAGAAGGGGAAACUGCAAGACAGAUUUUAUCCCCCACUUUGCUGUUUUCGCAUGGUUACCUGAAUCUCAGGAAGGCAUGGUCCCAGCAGGAAAGUGGCUGCCAUGGUGGCCCACAGCCAUCCAGGAGAUGUUCCAGCAGUGGUAGUGGUGGAGACUGCCACAGGAAAGGUGGAGGCUCAUCAAGCCAUCAGAGUGAGGGCUCAUCAAACCAAAGCAGGGGCAAUGGCUCAUCUGGCCAUGACGGGGACGACCUAGACCUGGAGGUCAAGGUUCCUUGCAGCCUGGACAGCAGAUCAGAGACCCCGGUGGAUACCACAGCAAAAACAAGUGUUGCAGAAGCGACGUUACAGCUUGCAGUUCAUGAGAGCACAUCCUCUUGGUGAUUUCUUUAAACUCUUUCCCAACCCCAAGCUAUCAGCAGUAGCAGUAAUGCUGUGGUAGGAUGUAGGAGCCCCAAGCAUGGACCUCCAUUUGUGCUUGGUGCUGUACAAACACAGAGUGUGAUGCAGCGCCUGUCCCAAGGAGUUUAUAGUCUAAGCAAGCUUCUGUAAAAAAUGUAUAUCUCCACUCCUCAAAUAAACACUGCAACUGUCUGCUCCCCAAACACAGACAGCCUCAACCGGUACCUGCUAGCAUCCAGCAGAAGAGCCCCAAGGUGCACUGCAGCACACCCGGCAGAAGUCGGUGGUACCGUUUCAGUACAGGGGACGUUACAGAACUUGCCGCAGGUUCAUUCCCUUACAGGUGGCAAACGAGCACUGCCCGAAGCACAGGCCAAUAAGAGAGUCGGCCUGAAGGUUCAGGAGUAUAGUUUAGGCACUGUAAGUGAUAUUUUUAGUCCUUCAUUUUGUGGUUUAAGGGUGUGAAGAACAACCGCAACCUGUGCACCCAAACUGGAGUUGCUGCUGCUCUUCUUAUUAUUCAUAAGGCUUUGGCAGCAUACAAGCUGCUGGGUCUACAGUGCAAAACAGGACAAAGCAAUUCAUUACACCCCCAUCUAAGGGUCUGAAGCCAAUUACUGGUCACCGUACCACUCCCUAGUGACCCUGAGCUCUGUUUGCACACAAAAGUCAUAAGACAUCACAACACAAAUGUACAACAUGUGCAAUACAAAUCUUUUCAGUCUAGUGAACAAACUUAUACCAGUGUCAAUGGGCUGACUGGGUUGUGUUGACACUGCUCCCCUCCAAAAUCCAGGCCUGCCUCUGACAAAAGAAGUCGUGCCCACAUGCUCCUCUCUCAGUAUGCCAGGACUGGCAAUUAGGCAAACAGACAACUCAGAAGUGGCUCUACGUGGCUCACAGCAGACUUGUAUAUCCCCUCUGCAAUGCUCUCAGGUCUCCCAAGACUGAAGCCUUGAGCCCAGCCCUAUGCAACACACUCAAAGCUGCUCCUACCUGCAUGCUUAACAUACCUACUGUUCACUGCUAGGCACCAGCAGCAGCAAGUCUGCGGGGUUAUUUUUGUCAGAUGUCUCUAAAGAUGGCCCAUUCCUGCGCAAAAAGAGGAGCCAGCUGUACUGGGGUGAACAGUGGGGGAUCCCUGUCCCGUCCCUAAGUCAUCACCAUGGGUGGAGGGUGCAUUGGACAGCAUAAUUGCACACGGGCUAGAAGCUGUAAUGAUAUGACUAGAUUGGUAAAAAACAUCACACCCAUAAUAAAACAGUUACUCUUGCACCACAGCCUGUGGACAACUGGGAUCCUAGUCAUCUGUAGUUUGUUUUCCUCCUAUGCCCAUCUUCCUAUAAGCCACAUGCUCCUUGGCUACAUAUCAGCUGCAGUAAGGGAAACAACCCAGACUUACAACAGCAGAGCAUUUGGAGCAAUGUGUUUUGUCUUUUUUAUAGGCUCCUGAUGGUAAAAACUCAUUGCUUUUCCAGUCCUUUUUUUUAUACAGCCCUCGACACAUUGUGGGUGUCACCAGAUACACAUAAUGGACUAGCAGCAAUGAUCACCAUGAACCAAUGAUCACCAUGAAUUAUGUCAGACCAUCCUCACAACCAUAGAACAAUAUGAACAGCACCGUGCUGACAUUAUUCUUUUUUACUCAAGAUAAAUGAUUUAUCAAAAGCUUCCCCAAGCCCUUUCCUUGUUGGUAGUUCCUAUGGACUGGGCACAGAUCCAAAGGCUUAGUUUCUGUUUCAGCCACCAAUUUAAGAGCACCUCUGCUUCUGCCCGGUUCCCCCAAGCAGGCGGGCCUUCCACUGGUCUUUUUAUAUGGUUUAAAACAACAAGGGUUGUGGAAGGGAGAUAUUCAUCAAAAAUGACAAGUCAAGAGAUGUUGCCAAGCAAGUGGGCAGCUGAGGCUGGGUUUGGCUGGUAAAUAAACCAGUCAUUGCCCCAGCGUAUGUCUUACUUCCAGCAGGAGGCCUUAGAUACUGUAUAAAAGUCUCAUCUUCCAAGCAUCCUCACUCCUCUCAACUUUUUUUUGCUUUCUUGUGCUGCGGGACAAAGUAAGUUGCUUUAUAAUAUAGCUUGUUCUGGUUGCUAAAAAUUAAUCUUCUUCAUUGCUUCUGGUUUCUUCACUGCAAGAGACCCAGCAGCCCCCCAGCAGCCCCUGCAGCAGCAGCAGAAGUAGUCGCUGCUUAGCGAUGCCCAAAUCAAGCAACCGUGAUGGCAAGCACAUCUCAUGACCUCCCACCACCUGAAAUGAACCAUGCUUUGCAUGUACCACUGCCGAGUCCUUCAUUCCUGAUGCAACUGGCUGUGCAUCUCCGAUGCACUUUUAAUGAGAAAUUUGGUGUGCAGGCUGGUGUAAGGGUGGUUUCACAUACUAAUCUCAAGCUUCAGUGUCCAGCUGUAGGCAUGAGACAAUAAAACUGGUCAUUCUGGAGAGUUUAGGUGUCUAGGUGGUUCUUCUCAAACCCUGAAUGCAUUCCCCUUACCAUAGUUUUCUUCUGAGUAAAGACCCUGGUGUGUUAGAAAUACAGAGGGGUAAGGGGUCUUCUGGGCUGAGUCUGGUCUACAGGAUGAGUCUACAGGGUUCACUCUGAAAGCAACAUGCAGUAGAGAUAGUCAGAUACGAGACCUGGAGAACUCAAGAGACCCACGUGUAGGAAUCGUUCCUUGGUUCUGUUUCUAUGGUCAUUGCAUAUGCUGGUUUUGGAAGAGUCUGGACUGCACACAUGGGUAUCCCACAACAUGAGUGAGCAGCAGACUGUAGUUACUAAUGCAGAUUAUAAUGAUGCAGAUGAUACCAGGAUAGAUAAAUCAAAUAAUUAUUGGAAAGGACCUCAGGAGGUCUUCUAAUCCACACCCCAUGUGGUAGCCUUCUAGAUGAUGCAAGGCUAGCACAUAUCAUUCAUAAAGGUUCAUGUAUCUUCCAUCUCUCUAACCAUUUCAUGCUGCCAUACAUCUUUCAGGUAUCUGAGAGUCUGCUCACUGACAUGGAAAUGCUUCUAGAUACAGCUCAAUUUCCACACCACAGCCAUGCCAAGCAGAAAAAUAUUGAACAAGGUGGAAGCUGUAUGGGCAAAUUUGGAAAGCAAAUGAUCUGGGGUGGAAAUCCACCUGGCAUCAGCAGUCCCAUGUUUAAGGCAGCGGGAGUCCUUCAGAUCUAGACUUUAUGUCUCAAUCAAAACCCACUGCAAGGCUCAACUCUUGCUCUCUAUCUUAGGGAUAACCUCUUAUCCCCAAAUGCCCAAAUAUGUGUUCUAUAUAGCAGGAGCCUAAGAGGGAAAAGAUGUCAACCAAACUAGGAUUAAAACCUUCACCAAAAGGUAAGGACAUGGAACUGUUCAGCCUGGAGAAGAAAAGACUUCAGGGGGACUUGGUAGCAGCCUAUAAGUAUAUAAAGGGUGCACAUCAGGGUCUGAGGAAGCAUCUGUUCAUGAAGGCACCCCAGGGGAAGAGAAGGAAUAACCAUCAUAAAUUGCUAGAAGAUCACUUUAGAUUGGACAUAAGGAAAAAUGUCCUUAUGGUUCGAGUGCCCAAGGUCUGGAACAGACUCCCCCAGAGGUGGUACAAUCGCCUACUCUGAAAAUCUUCAAAAAACAUCUGGACGCUCACCUUGCUGGGGUCACCUGACCCCAGCAGUCUUUCCUGCCCAAGCGCAGGGGGGCUGGACCUGAUAAUCUCAAGAGGUCCCUUCCAGCCCCUAACAUUUAUGAAUCUAUGAAUAAGGACUUACAUUUAGGGAGCAUGGAUAUAAGACCACCCCCAGUACAUAGCAAUGACUUCAUUGGCUUGUCCUCUGUGACAACUGCGUACAGGCGAAGACCAGAAGGUUGCAUGUCCAUUCUCUGCCCAAACAGGAGGCUAGGAAAGGGGCUGAGAGGAACAAGGGAACAGGCAGGGACUUUGCUCUGCCCUGUGCACUGCCCACUCGCUGCCCAUGCACCAGGCAGCAGAGCAGACCCUGCACCAGUCUAGGGCUCCAUUAGCAGAGAGCUGCGGGGUCCUUUCUGGAGGAAAAUAACUGCACCACUCGGGGAUGACCCUCCAGGCUCUGUGCAGCCUUUAGUGAUCCAGACACAAGGCACAAAGGAUCUAAGAUGCACUCAGGACUCAGGGUUAGUAGUAACCUAGUUCAAAUUCACUACACAUCCAUUCAUUCCCAUCCCUCCGUGCAUAGGAUGGUAAAAGGAAUUUCCCUGGAAGGGAAGCUUUGUAUUCAGUAUGGCACUUUCUGGCAAUGUUUUGGAAAGUAAAAUAAACCUUUCCUUUUCUAAACUCUACAGCAAGGUAGCACAGAUGAGAGGGGUGCUCUGAGCUGCGCAAGCCAACAUGAUCCAGGCACACAGCAUAACCCACAGGAGCCACCUCCCCAUUUGGUUAAACCUGCUCAUCUGAUGUGAAUUAAAUGUCUUUCUGAGGAUGAAACCAUGGGUCAAAAUAUUAGGAAGAAACAUUGCAUUCAUGUUUUCUUUAAUGUUGGCUUUGAUUUAUUUUUUAAUUAAAAUAAACCAUUUUCAGUCAUAAUGAUA
Long non-coding RNA from Alligator mississippiensis (American alligator), 5868 nucleotides. RefSeq lists it as uncharacterized. The record is from RefSeq and is a predicted model, not a curated record. NCBI's taxonomy places the organism in Eukaryota, Metazoa, Chordata, Crocodylia, Alligatoridae. The transcript is spliced from 2 exons.